GAUGUGCCGAGAGGUGAAAGGCUUGCUGCCUGAAAAUGAGCUCGCGUCUGAUUAGCUAGUUGGUGUGGUAAGAGCGCACCAAGGCGACAAUCAGUAGCUGGUCUGAGAGGAUGACCAGCCACACUGGGACUGAGACACGGCCCAGACUCCUACGGGAGGCAGCAGUGGGGAAUUUUCCGCAAUGGGCGAAAGCCUGACGGAGCAAUACCGCGUGAGGGAGGAAGGCUCUUGGGUCGUAAACCUCUUUUCUCAAGGAAUAAGAAAGUGAAGGUACUUGAGGAAUAAGCAUCGGCUAACUCCGUGCCAGCAGCCGCGGUAAUACGGAGGAUGCAAGCGUUAUCCGGAAUGAUUGGGCGUAAAGGGUCCGCAGGUGGCAUUGUGUGUCUGCUGUUAAAGAGUUUGGCUUAACCAGAUAAAAGCAGUGGAAACUACAAAGCUAGAGUGCGUUCGGGGCAGAAGGAAUUCCUGGUGUAGCGGUGAAAUGCGUAGAGAUCAGGAAGAACACCGGUGGCGAAAGCGUUCUGCUAGGCCUGCACUGACACUGAGGGACGAAAGCUAGGGGAGCGAAGGGGAUUAAUCC
Molecule: ribosomal RNA, 580 nt
Filed under: Dolichospermum circinale AUS-JR/BS/MS/NT-071
Lineage: Bacteria; Bacillati; Cyanobacteriota; Cyanophyceae; Nostocales; Aphanizomenonaceae
Description: bacterial SSU rRNA
Rfam family: Bacterial small subunit ribosomal RNA
Source: RNAcentral